Molecule: unclassified non-coding RNA, 378 nt
Filed under: Hevea brasiliensis (rubber tree)
Lineage: Eukaryota; Viridiplantae; Streptophyta; Magnoliopsida; Malpighiales; Euphorbiaceae
Source: RNAcentral
GUAGUAUUCAUUUUUAGAGUAGUAACAGGAAUAACCAACUAAUCAAGUCUACAUUAUAGGUAAGUAUCACUAACCAAGGGGGCACCCUGAAGCCAUCUUUGGGACCAAACAGCCCUCCAACUGUAGGCUCCUUCUCCCCCACAGAUCAUUAUAUGAGAAAAGGACACAAAUUUGCAGUAUUAGAAGAAGAAAUGUUCUAAACAUACAUGACACAUUCGAACCUAGUUGUAAAGAUCAUCAUCAUCAGCCCCACCGCCAGCAGAAGUUGCAAACGGGUCGGCAGCCGCAGUUCCAGAAGCAGUGUUGUCUGAGAACCUGAAUUCAGAACCAAACCCUCUCGACUGCUGCAGUGUUUGAGCAAAUGCCUGGUAUUUACGA